RNAcentral lists this RNase P RNA (278 nucleotides) under Nitrosopumilus sp. b1. RNAcentral describes it as "Archaeal RNase P". It matches the Rfam family "Archaeal RNase P". From Rfam's summary of the family: Ribonuclease P (RNase P) is a ubiquitous endoribonuclease, found in archaea, bacteria and eukarya as well as chloroplasts and mitochondria. Its best characterised activity is the generation of mature 5'-ends of tRNAs by cleaving the 5'-leader elements of precursor-tRNAs. Cellular RNase Ps are ribonucleoproteins. Lineage: Archaea; Thermoproteati; Nitrososphaerota; Nitrososphaeria; Nitrosopumilales; Nitrosopumilaceae. The record is from Rfam by way of RNAcentral.
GCGAGCCAGAGCACGAGACGCUGCUACGGCAGAGGAAACUCCUCCCUCCAUACAGGAAAUGUGAUCUGGAGAUAGAUGAUCAGAGAUGGUCGGCAACAGUGCAGAAAAAAUCCAACUUGGAGCACAAUGAUGGUGUAAGCCUGAGAUUGCCAAGAAAGGAAUGAAAAACUGUCCCACAUGGAGCAAAGCCAAACAGAACUUUAGGUUCCUGUACUUAGUUCAGGUAGGCUGCAAAGCGAAAUAUCGUGAGAACAAAAGGAGGGUUACUACUGGCACGC